AGAACGUAGCGAAAUGCGAUACUUGGUGUGAAUUGCAGAAUCCCGUGAACCAUCGAGUCUUUGAACGCAAGUUGCGCCCGAAGCCAUUAGGCUGAGGG
Molecule: ribosomal RNA, 98 nt
Filed under: Indigofera wightii
Lineage: Eukaryota; Viridiplantae; Streptophyta; Magnoliopsida; Fabales; Fabaceae
Description: 5.8S ribosomal RNA
Rfam family: 5.8S ribosomal RNA
About the family: 5.8S ribosomal RNA (5.8S rRNA) is a component of the large subunit of the eukaryotic ribosome. It is transcribed by RNA polymerase I as part of the 45S precursor that also contains 18S and 28S rRNA.
Source: RNAcentral